This 2637-nucleotide long non-coding RNA is filed under the name Nasonia vitripennis (jewel wasp). RNAcentral's name for it is "uncharacterized LOC116417195". The record is from RNAcentral. Lineage: Eukaryota; Metazoa; Arthropoda; Insecta; Hymenoptera; Pteromalidae.
UUUUUCUACUUUUUCCUGUUUUUUCUUCUUUAGCCGGACAGUCUGUCACGCCGGCUAUGCCCCUCAAGGAUAUUUUGCCAAGGAUUUUCGUCGCAUAUUUUCGCUGGGGGUUUACGUUCCACUUCUGGGCAGAAGGCGCUAAGAGUCCGUGGAUUUUUUUCAUAUUAUUGUUACUUUUAUAUCCUACAAUAAAAAAUUUGGUUGGAUUCGAGUUAGUUUUAACGGAAAAAGUGGUUCUCAAAAUUUUCAUACGAAAAGGUCGAGAGUAUCACGACGUUUCGGGGAACGUUCCCAAAAUAACGAAAUACAGCCUAAGUAUCACAGCACCUCUGUCCGUUCGCCGAAGCGCAGCACGGCACUCCCACCUCUCUCGGCACACAUAAUUUCCCUUGAGGGAGAUCGCGGUGGGUACUCGCAGCCUCAACAGACCGAUCGAGAGAGAAAGAGAGAGUCAGGUGGACAGUCGCUCGCCACUGCUCAUCCGCGGAGCCAUCAGCGCGCGACGAGCCCGCACAUAUCGCCGCGACGAUCGAUUAUUAUCUUUCCAAUUUGCAUAGCAACCAAGAGAGAAAGGGAGCAGCGGCUGCCUGUUCAAAUCUGCGGGCGCUGUGUAUCAUCGCUGUACAUAUACACUUUCUCUCGCUCGACCUCACCCCUUUUCAUCGGAGCGAGGCGCGAUCCUGGCGCUUUUUCUUCGUUUUUUCGCAACUCGUUUUCGCGGAUGUCGGCGAGGAACGAGCGCUGAUGAAAAAAGUGCCCGGUACGUGCGAUCGCGCCGAGGGAAAGGGGCGAGACAUUUUUCAGGGGGACGCCGAGAUGAGAGAGCUCGUGGAAAAGGAGGAGGCCUCCGCUGCGUCGAUGAGGCGACACUUUUCGUUUUCUCUUUUAUUUUGUUUUUCUGAGAAUAUACCAGCGGAUCAUCUUGUAAAAAUAUGCGGACAUCGAUAAUCGAAUCAAUCUCUAUCCGCUACACGAUUAAAAACCCGACUGCGUCAAGCUACGUCGAGAGCCUACGCAACGCAGCAGCAGCGAGAUGGACACGGAAAUAAAGAGAAACCGAGCAAAAGCGCGAGAUUAAGCUCCAGCGCUGGAUGGAGAACGAGAAAAAGGGAGAAAUUGCCCGGCGGAAUGCGUUUGCUCAAUUACAUCGCGAGAGCGCGCGCGAUAUUCGACGAGGAAUCUGCUGCGCUGGGAAAGACAAACAACAGCCGCGUCGCCGCUGAAAAAUGAGCAGCGCCGACCCCUUUUUUCUCUCACCGCCUCGUCUAUAAACAAGCACCGGUUCGAUUAUUUCCACUUUCUGGAGUUUCAUUUUUUUUUUCGUUUGCGUAAACAGAACGACACUGACGUCCGUCCAGCGCGUAGUUUUAACGAUCUGCUCAUACGUCGCCGGUGCAGCUUUACUGUCCGCGCGUGAACAUAAACAUCGCUUUUAGUGCUUCUUCACACCAAAAGUAGCAUAAACGCGAGCCUAACGACUCGCAAGACAUCAAUAAUUUUACUGACCUACGUAGGCGCGAAAUUUGCGUCAAGCUAUGCACCUGUCGUCAGAGAUGAACCAGAUUAAUUUAACACAACCGCGCGAUGUUUCUCGCCUCCGUCGAAGAAAACGCGUAUAAAAAACGCGGUCCUAGUGUAAGGAGUCGGCAUUCCGCAAAUAGUAACAAACCGCGCGUACAGCACACCCUCGAGUGAAAAAAUUUCGCCGAAAAAAAAGAAGAAGAAGAAGAGAGGAGGAUCAGGCCUGCGAACAAAACCGCAGAAUGCCAGGGCCACGUUCAUUCUUCUUCGAUUCUCGAGGGUCGCCCUUCGUGCGCGGGAGAGGAGGAGAGGGGGAGCAAAAAUCUUUGACGCGCGCCGCCGCGGCGAAGAAUCAUUAAUAACUUUUAGCCGGCAGAUUUCGCGCGUAUUAAUCCGCAAGCGUUCUCUUUCUCUUCAUUUUCUUGCGGUGGCGCUGAGUCGACGACGCGCGACGUUGCUGCUACUGCUGCUGCUGGCUUAAUGAAAAAUCCGAGGCGCGAACGAUUUUUCCUCGAGGGUGAGAUAUAGCUUGAAAUGCAAUAUGUUAAACUCUUGCAGCUGCCACAACUUCGUGUGAAAUAAUAAUCUGUCGGUUCCCGGACUCCGUGGCGUCUUCCCUUGUCAGUAUGCGGCAAAGAAAACUCCUAAUUAUCACCGAUAAAAAGAAGAAAAUUUCUCGGGAGGCCCCCGGGACACAACUAUUAGCAGUUUGGUCUUCUAAUUGUGCACGAAAUUUGCGAGGCAGGAAAAAGGGAUGUAGUCGGCAGAAGACGACGAGUAGAGACGACGCUUCAUUUCGACUUGUCGCAGUUUGUUAAUUUCCGUGAUACUCGCACGAGAGCACGUAAUCCGAGAGGCUGGCUUGGAAUUCUUAGACCGAGAGGGGGCUGCGGAAGCAAAUUGUGCAUUAUGGAGCUUUGUGCGUUGUCUUGGAAGAUUAUCGGGUUUAAUUUGCUACGUCACGGAAUAGUUAUUUUAUCGUCUCUUCGCAACAAGACAAUUUGUCUAAGACAAUAUUAUACACUAAACGUACAUUUCUACCCUUCUAAAAGUGCAUAAUUCGAUUCGAUAAAAACUCGACAAACGAGUGCAAUAAAAAUGUUUCCAGAAAAAGUU